This 373-nucleotide ribosomal RNA is filed under the name uncultured organism. Its description in RNAcentral is "partial 16S ribosomal RNA". It matches the Rfam family "Bacterial small subunit ribosomal RNA", at positions 527 to 896 of the family's 1533-position model. The record is from RNAcentral.
GUAGGUGGCAAGCGUUGUCCGGAAUUAUGGGGCGUAAAGCGCGCGCAGGCGGUUCUUUAAGUCUGAUGUGAAAGCCCACGGGCUCAACCGUGGAGGGUCAUUGGAAACUGGAGAACUUGAGUACAGAAGAGGAAAGCGGAAUUCCACGUGUAGCGGUGAAAUGCGUAGAGAUGUGGAGGAACACCAGUGGCGAAGGCGGCUUUCUGGUCUGUAACUGACGCUGAGGCGCGAAAGCGUGGGGAGCAAACAGGAUUAGAUACCCUGGUAGUCCACGCCGUAAACGAUGAGUGCUAAGUGUUAGGGGGUUUCCGCCCCUUAGUGCUGCAGCUAACGCAUUAAGCACUCCGCCUGGGGAGUACGGCCGCAAAGGCUG